AUUUUCCUAUAUUAUUUUACUGAUCAUGUACUUGAAUCAUCAUGCUGAGGUUACAUUUGAGGCUUAUCAUACCAAAAACAGAGAAAACUUGAGAAAAAAAUCACUUUUUCAGUAAAAUCUAUCAUUAACUGAACAUAAACCAAUGAUUUCCA
This is a long non-coding RNA of Sphaeramia orbicularis (orbiculate cardinalfish), 152 nucleotides long. RefSeq lists it as uncharacterized. NCBI's taxonomy places the organism in Eukaryota, Metazoa, Chordata, Actinopteri, Kurtiformes, Apogonidae. The record is from RefSeq and is a predicted model, not a curated record. The transcript has 3 exons.